Molecule: transfer RNA, 65 nt
Filed under: Philolithus actuosus
Lineage: Eukaryota; Metazoa; Arthropoda; Insecta; Coleoptera; Tenebrionidae
Also listed under: 2 other names
Description: tRNA-His
Source: RNAcentral
AUUUAAAUAGUUUAAUUUAAAAUAUUGAUUUGUGGAAUCAAUGAUGUACUAUUGUAUUUUAAAUA